This 555-nucleotide ribosomal RNA is filed under the name Alternaria brassicae. Its description in RNAcentral is "eukaryotic LSU rRNA". The stretch from base 192 to 345 matches the Rfam family "5.8S ribosomal RNA". The record is from RNAcentral. Lineage: Eukaryota; Fungi; Ascomycota; Dothideomycetes; Pleosporales; Pleosporaceae.
UGGGAGGGGACUGCGGAGGGACAUUACACAAAUAUGAAGGCGGGCUGGAACCUCUCGGGGUUACAGCCUUGCUGAAUUAUUCACCCUUGUCUUUUGCGUACUUCUUGUUUCCUUGGUGGGUUCGCCCACCACUAGGACAAACAUAAACCUUUUGUAAUUGCAAUCAGCGUCAGUAACAAAUUAAUAAUUACAACUUUCAACAACGGAUCUCUUGGUUCUGGCAUCGAUGAAGAACGCAGCGAAAUGCGAUAAGUAGUGUGAAUUGCAGAAUUCAGUGAAUCAUCGAAUCUUUGAACGCACAUUGCGCCCUUUGGUAUUCCAAAGGGCAUGCCUGUUCGAGCGUCAUUUGUACCCUCAAGCUUUGCUUGGUGUUGGGCGUCUUGUCUCUAGCUUUGCUGGAGACUCGCCUUAAAGUAAUUGGCAGCCGGCCUACUGGUUUCGGAGCGCAGCACAAGUCGCACUCUCUAUCAGCAAAGGUCUAGCAUCCAUUAAGCCUUUUUUUCAACUUUUGACCUCGGAUCAGGUAGGGAUACCCGCUGAACUUAAGCAUAUCAA